Molecule: ribosomal RNA, 253 nt
Filed under: uncultured bacterium
Lineage: Bacteria
Description: partial 16S ribosomal RNA
Rfam family: Bacterial small subunit ribosomal RNA
Source: RNAcentral
UACAGAGGGGGCAAGCGUUGUUCGGAAUUACUGGGCGUAAAGGGCGCGUAGGCGGCCUGUUAAGUCGAACGUGAAAUCCCCGGGCUCAACCCGGGAACUGCGUCCGAUACUGGCAGGCUUGAAUCCGGGAGAGGGAUGCGGAAUUCCAGGUGUAGCGGUGAAAUGCGUAGAUAUCUGGAGGAACACCGGUGGCGAAGGCGGCAUCCUGGACCGGUAUUGACGCUGAGGCGCGAAAGCCAGGGGAGCAAACAGG